RNAcentral lists this ribosomal RNA (465 nucleotides) under uncultured bacterium. RNAcentral's name for it is "partial 16S ribosomal RNA". It matches the Rfam family "Bacterial small subunit ribosomal RNA", at positions 28 to 507 of the family's 1533-position model. The record is from RNAcentral.
GAUGAACGCUGGCGGCGUGCUUAACACAUGCAAGUCGAACGGAAAGGCUCCUCCUUGCAGGGGUACUCGAGUGGCGAACGGGUGAGUAACACGUGGGUGAUCUGCCCUGCACUUCGGGAUAACCCUGGGAAACUGGGUCUAAUACCGGAUAGGACGAUGUUUUGGAUGCCAUUGUGGAAAGUUUUUCGGGGUGGGAUGAGCUCGCGGCCUCUCAGCUUGUUGGUGGGGUAAUGGCCUACCAAGGCGUCGUAGGGUAGUCGGCCUGGGGGGGGGGACGGCCACAAUGGGACUGAGAGACGGGCCAGACUCCUAAGGGAGGCAGGAGGGGGGAAAAUUGCAAAAAGGGGGCAAGCCUGAUGCAGCGACGCCGGGUGGGGGAUGAAGGCCUUCGGGGUGGAAACUCCUUUCGCUAGGGACGAAGCGCAAGUGACGGUACAUGGAGAAGAAGCACCGGCUAACUACGUG